This 493-nucleotide ribosomal RNA is filed under the name uncultured bacterium. Its description in RNAcentral is "partial 16S ribosomal RNA". It matches the Rfam family "Bacterial small subunit ribosomal RNA", at positions 29 to 523 of the family's 1533-position model. The record is from RNAcentral.
AUUGAACGCUGGCGGCAUGCUUUACACAUGCAAGUCGAACGGUAACAGGUUAAGCUGACGAGUGGCGAACGGGUGAGUAAUGCAUCGGAACGUGCCCGAUCGUGGGGGAUAACGCAGCGAAAGCCGCGCUAAUACCGCAUACGAUCUGAGGAUGAAAGCGGGGGACCGUAAGGCCUCGCGCGAUCGGAGCGGCCGAUGUCAGAUUAGGUAGUUGGUGGGGUAAAGGCUCACCAAGCCAACGAUCUGUAGCUGGUCUGAGAGGACGACCAGCCACACUGGGACUGAGACACGGCCCAGACUCCUACGGGAGGCAGCAGUGGGGAAUUUUGGACAAUGGGCGAAAGCCUGAUCCAGCAAUGCCGCGUGCAGGAAGAAGGCCUUCGGGUUGUAAACUGCUUUUGUACGGAGCGAAAAGGUUCUCUCUAAUACAGAGGGCUCAUGACGGUACCGUAAGAACAAGCACCGGCUAACUACGUGCCAGCCGCCGCGGUAA